AUUGAACGCUGGCGGCAGGCCUAACACAUGCAAGUCGAGCGAGCGGCGGACGGGUGAGUAAUGUAGGGGGACUGACCGAUAGAGGGGGAUAACUACUAGAAAAGGUGGCUAAUACCGCAUACUAUGCGAUAACCCAGAUGGGAUUAGCUAGUAGGUUGGGUAAAGGCUCACCUAGGCGAAGAUCGCUAGCUGGUCUGAGAGGAUGAUCAGCCACACUGGGACUGGGACACGGCCCAGACUCCUACGGAGGCAGCAGUGGGGAAUAUUGCACAAUGGGCGCAAGCCUGAUGCAGCCAUGCCGCGUGUAUGAAGAAGGCCUUAGGGUUGUAAAGUACUUUCAGCGGGGAGGCGUUACCCGCAGAAGAAGCACCGGCUAACUCCGUGCCAGCAGCCGCGGUAAUAC
This 403-nucleotide ribosomal RNA is filed under the name uncultured bacterium. RNAcentral describes it as "partial 16S ribosomal RNA". It matches the Rfam family "Bacterial small subunit ribosomal RNA", at positions 30 to 526 of the family's 1533-position model. The record is from RNAcentral.